Small nucleolar RNA from Perognathus longimembris pacificus (Pacific pocket mouse), 105 nucleotides. RefSeq annotates it as small nucleolar RNA U13. NCBI's taxonomy places the organism in Eukaryota, Metazoa, Chordata, Mammalia, Rodentia, Heteromyidae. The record is from RefSeq and is a predicted model, not a curated record. The transcript has a single exon.
AUCCUUUUCCAGUUUAUAAGUGUGAUAAUUGGGUUCUCAUGCACUUGUGUGACAUGUGCCUCCCACUAAACCUUGCUAUGACUUGCGCACACUACCCGUCUGACG